AGUGAACGCUGUCGGCGUGCCUAAUACAUGCAAGUCGAACGGAGUGGCGCCCUGGUGAGUAAUAUAUAGCUAAUCUGCCCCUUGCUGGAGGACAACAGUUAGAAAUGACUGCUAAUACUCCAUAGCAAGGGAUGCGACUAUAUCGUAUCCGCUAGUCGGUGGGGUAACGGCCUACCGAGGCUAUGACGCGUAACUGGUCGGAGAGGAUGAUCAGUCACAUUGGAACUGAGACACGGUAAAAACUCCUACGGGAGGGAGCAGUAGGGAAUAUGGCGAAAUGGGGGAAACCAUGACGAAGCAACGAGGCGAGGAGGAUGACAAUUGUCGGAGAGUAAACUACGUUUGUGAGGGAAGCGGUAACUAACGAAUAAGCACCGGCUAACUCCGUGCCAGCAGCCGCGGUAAUUC
Molecule: ribosomal RNA, 408 nt
Filed under: uncultured bacterium
Lineage: Bacteria
Description: partial 16S ribosomal RNA
Rfam family: Bacterial small subunit ribosomal RNA
Source: RNAcentral